This 253-nucleotide ribosomal RNA is filed under the name uncultured bacterium. RNAcentral describes it as "partial 16S ribosomal RNA". It matches the Rfam family "Bacterial small subunit ribosomal RNA", at positions 524 to 776 of the family's 1533-position model. The record is from RNAcentral.
UACGUAGGGUGCGAGCGUUGUCCGGAAUUAUUGGGCGUAAAGAGCUUGUAGGCGGUUUGUCGCGUCUGCUGUGAAAAUCCGGGGCUCAACCCCGGACUUGCAGUGGGUACGGGCAGGCUAGAGUGUGGUAGGGGAGACUGGAGUUCCUGGUGUAGCGGUGGAAUGCGCAGAUAUCAGGAGGAACACCGAUGGCGAAGGCAGGUCUCUGGGCCACUACUGACGCUGAGAAGCGAAAGCAUGGGGAGCGAACAGG